GAUGAAACUUCUGUUCAUAUGCAUUUUCAGAGUCAGUUUCAUGUGACGAUGACAUGUCAUCUUCAUCGUUCGAAGGUUUGCUCUUUUCUUCCUUGGCAUCGGUAUGAUCCUUCUCAUCCAUGAUGACAUUUAGAGCAUCUGCGUGGUGUUCAUUCGUCAAGCUAGGAUCACGUCGUUCGUUACUGGAGAAUUCGUGGAAGAUAUCGCGUAACCUAGCAUACAUUGGAUCCUUCAAGGCCUUGACAUAGUCCUCGUCGCGCUUAGAUGUAGAGACCACUGCCUGUGAUGGUUUAGGGCUUACAGUUUUCCACAACGAAGAAAGCAUAAAACAACAGGAUAUGGUAACUUGGUAAGUAAGCAACGUUUUGAUAUAGUUUGUAGCCACCACCAAUGACCUGCCUUGCCACAAAGUUUAUAAGUG
This 421-nucleotide long non-coding RNA is filed under the name Linum usitatissimum (flax). RNAcentral describes it as "long non-coding RNA (LUSI_LNC001512)". The record is from RNAcentral. Lineage: Eukaryota; Viridiplantae; Streptophyta; Magnoliopsida; Malpighiales; Linaceae.